CAGUCGCCACGGUAAUACGUAGGUGGCAAGCGUUGUCCGGAAUUAUUGGGCGUAAAGCGCGCGCAGGCGGCCUAUCCAGUCUGUCUUAAAAGUUCGGGGCUCAACCCCGUGAUGGGAUGGAAACUAGUAGGCUAGAGUAUCGGAGAGGAAAGCGGAAUUCCUAGUGUAGCGGUGAAAUGCAUAGAUAUUAGGAAGAACACCAGUGGCGAAGGCGGCUUUCUGGACGAAAACUGACGCCGAGGCGCGAAAGCCAGGGGAGCGAACGGGAUUAGAUACCCCUGUAGUCCCUGUCUCUUAUACA
Molecule: ribosomal RNA, 301 nt
Filed under: uncultured bacterium
Lineage: Bacteria
Description: partial 16S ribosomal RNA
Rfam family: Bacterial small subunit ribosomal RNA
Source: RNAcentral